UACGUAGGGUGCGAGCGUUAAUCGGAAUUACUGGGCGUAAAGCGUGCGCAGGCGGUUUUGUAAGCCAGAUGUGAAAGCCCCGGGCUUAACCUGGGAAUGGCAUUUGGGACUGCAAGGCUUGAGUGCGGCAGAGGAGACUGGAAUUCCUGGUGUAGCAGUGAAAUGCGCAGAUAUCAGGAGGAACACCGAUGGCGAAGGCAGUGUUCUGGGCCAGUACUGACGCUGAGGAGCGAAAGCGUGGGGAGCAAACAGG
This 253-nucleotide ribosomal RNA is filed under the name uncultured bacterium. RNAcentral's name for it is "partial 16S ribosomal RNA". It matches the Rfam family "Bacterial small subunit ribosomal RNA", at positions 524 to 776 of the family's 1533-position model. The record is from RNAcentral.